ACUGGAUGUGCAACGUUGACCAGAAGGUUACUGUGUCAGCUUCAUCGUAGCUCAGGCUUGCCUGACUGGAUACCAGCCAGAGGAGACUCAGCGAGAGCUCAGUAACACAGGCAAACUCCUGGGCAAGACAUUUUUCAGCUCAAUUGGUUAUGAAUUGCAUUGAACUGCUGCUGCUAAGUUAAGGAAUGUCAUGUCACAUGCCGGUAAUAGUAAACCUAAUUCUGAUUCUG
This is a long non-coding RNA of Mobula hypostoma (lesser devil ray), 230 nucleotides long. RefSeq lists it as uncharacterized. The record is from RefSeq and is a predicted model, not a curated record. Lineage: Eukaryota; Metazoa; Chordata; Chondrichthyes; Myliobatiformes; Myliobatidae. The transcript is spliced from 3 exons.